CAACUUUCAGCAACGGAUCUCUUGGCUCUCGCAUCGAUGAAGAACGCAGCGAAAUGUGAUAAGUAAUGUGAAUUGCAGAAUUCAGUGAAUCAUCGAAUCUUUGAACGCACCUUGCGCUCCUUGGUAUUCCGAGGAGCAUGCCUGUUUGAGUGUCAUUA
RNAcentral lists this ribosomal RNA (158 nucleotides) under Inocybe sp. DED8161. Its description in RNAcentral is "5.8S ribosomal RNA". It matches the Rfam family "5.8S ribosomal RNA". From Rfam's summary of the family: 5.8S ribosomal RNA (5.8S rRNA) is a component of the large subunit of the eukaryotic ribosome. It is transcribed by RNA polymerase I as part of the 45S precursor that also contains 18S and 28S rRNA. Functionally, it is thought that 5.8S rRNA may be involved in ribosome translocation. RNAcentral also lists the same sequence under 1 other name. Lineage: Eukaryota; Fungi; Basidiomycota; Agaricomycetes; Agaricales; Inocybaceae. The record is from RNAcentral.